AGGAAAGGAAAAACUCCCAAGGGAAGUGACUCUGCUGCUACUGGUUCCUGGAAACUUAGUGUGAAUGUAGCCAUAUCAUCUAUUUUCACUGACGAUUUCGAGUCAUAUUAUCCCUCUUGUACUCCUCCUGGAAGCCAUCUGUGUCAGCAGCUCAUGGAAUAAUUUCUAAAACACCAUGUAUUAGAACGCAAAGCAAACUCAAUAAAUACAGGAAUAUUGAAGUAAUAGUCCAUAUUCUAUCAGACCACUAUAAAAACCUUUAUAAUCCACUAAACUGGAAAAUCUAAAAGAUGUGGACAAAUUUCUAGACACAUGCAAUUUACCAAAAUAAAGACAAAAUGAAAUAAAUAAUUUAAAAAGAUCAAGAACUAGGGAUGAGAUUGAAGCAACAAUAGUCUUCCAAGAAAAGAAAGUCCAGGUCCAGAUGGAUUCACACAGAAUUCUCCACCACAGUCACAGAGACUAGCACCAACACUCAUCAGAUGAUCCCACUAAGGAAAGGAAGGAAACCAGCAUUACCCGGACUCCAAAACUAGACGACGACUCAGGAGCAGCAAUAACAAACCACAGAGCAGCCUCCCUGACGAGCGGACACGACGUUCUCAGAGUCACACCGAAUUUAAGACCCUGUAAAAAAGACUACUGGGUGGUGGAACUUUCCGUGGCUUGCUUUUGCUCACCGGGUUUUUCAUUCUCUGCUUCAACUUGGCUGUUCCUUAGUUUUCUUCUAUGUCCAUGCUCAAUGCAGUUUUCAUAUCCAGUGCUGUCCUUGUCAUUUUCCUCGGCCAUUUUUGUGUGCUUUCUUGGACUUCAGUCAUUUAUCCUGAUCCUCUCUAAGUGCAUUCGGGCUUUUACUUAUUUCUGACUUUAUAUGCUUUGAACACGUUGACCAUGCUUACAAUUGUUCUUUUGAAUUCCGUGUAUAUUUCAUGUAAGUUGCUGUCUUUAGGGGACAUUGCCAUGGAGUUGGUGAUUUGAGGGGGACAGAAGUCUGUGGUCAUGACAUCCAUCUCAAUGUAUUUGUCAGCCAACAUUUGUUUUUAUUCAUUUGUAGGCAACGCUGCUUCCAGACAUCAUAAGAAUUUAAUACCUUAAAUUCCCACCAGGUGGCGCUCCAAGGUUACCAAGAGCAGGUUAUACUUGCUGAAGUGCGAGGCAGGGCAGUGCGUGCCGUGGUGUAAAGGAGGGCUGG
Molecule: long non-coding RNA, 1192 nt
Filed under: Cricetulus griseus (Chinese hamster)
Lineage: Eukaryota; Metazoa; Chordata; Mammalia; Rodentia; Cricetidae
Description: lncRNA (ENSCGRG00015029396.1)
Source: RNAcentral